This 63-nucleotide transfer RNA is filed under the name Ceratocombus japonicus. RNAcentral describes it as "tRNA-Glu". Lineage: Eukaryota; Metazoa; Arthropoda; Insecta; Hemiptera; Ceratocombidae. The record is from RNAcentral.
UUUUAUAUAGUUUAAUUAAAACAAUUUAUUUUCAAUAAAUAGAUAAGUAAAUCUUUAUAAAAU